RNAcentral lists this long non-coding RNA (721 nucleotides) under Equus asinus (donkey). Its description in RNAcentral is "lncRNA (ENSEASG00005032051.1)". The record is from RNAcentral. Lineage: Eukaryota; Metazoa; Chordata; Mammalia; Perissodactyla; Equidae.
GGUUGGCCUCAGGCGAUCCAUUUGCAUGCCUCUUGGUAUUCACUGUAUCAGUUUUGAUAGUAAGUGGACACGUGCAGCAACCUUGGUCUGAGAAGGGCUUAGUGACCACGGCUCAGAUGCCUCAGGGAUGAAGUUCUAGGCCACAUCACCAGAAUCCUCUCGAAGCUGAGAAUAUCUGCAACAGGCAGCAGGGAGCGGUGGUGGGAGUGGGAGUUAGGAAGGAAAAUUGGCUACAGCUCUGGAAUAUCAUCCACUACGAAAGCUGGGCUGCAUGCCAGAAGAUUCCAGUGGACAAGCCAAUUGCCAUCAGAAGAGCAAGCAUCAGGCAUUAUCCUUCAGGGACCAGCCCAGGGUGUCUCAGGUGGAGAAUAAAGAGGAAAAACAUGGAACACCAUUUACGAAAUGACAUUCUCAUCCAAUUCCUCCAUCCCAAAUGAAUGAAGAUUUAUGGAGUAGAGACCUCUGCGGGGCAGGAGGUGGGACCAUCUGUAGAAGUGCUCAAGAGAGACCAGCUGAAGAGCCAAGGAUGAGCUGGAGAUCCACCGGCAAAUGGUCAGCAGCGAGACAGACGGAAGGCCUUUAUCAUCUCCGGGCCCUCUCCAAACACACAAAUCAAUAACAAUUAAAGCAGAUUAUGAAAAGGCAAUAAUGGAUAAUUAAAUGUUUGGACUUGAUUUAAACUGGGAUAAACGCUCUCACAUGGAAAUUUACUCUAUAGAGA